Molecule: ribosomal RNA, 580 nt
Filed under: uncultured Lachnospiraceae bacterium
Lineage: Bacteria; Bacillati; Bacillota; Clostridia; Lachnospirales; Lachnospiraceae
Description: bacterial SSU rRNA
Rfam family: Bacterial small subunit ribosomal RNA
Source: RNAcentral
CGGCUGCUAAUACCGCAUAAGCGCACGAGGAGACAUCUCCUUGUGUGAAAAACUCCGGUGGUACAGGAUGGGCCCGCGUCUGAUUAGCUGGUUGGCAGGGUAACGGCCUACCAAGGCAACGAUCAGUAGCCGGUCUGAGAGGAUGAACGGCCACAUUGGAACUGAGACACGGUCCAAACUCCUACGGGAGGCAGCAGUGGGGAAUAUUGCACAAUGGGGGAAACCCUGAUGCAGCAACGCCGCGUGAGUGAAGAAGUAUUUCGGUAUGUAAAGCUCUAUCAGCAGGGAAGAUAAUGACGGUACCUGACUAAGAAGCUCCGGCUAAAUACGUGCCAGCAGCCGCGGUAAUACGUAUGGAGCAAGCGUUAUCCGGAUUUACUGGGUGUAAAGGGUGCGUAGGUGGCAGUGCAAGUCAGAUGUGAAAGGCCGGGGCUCAACCCCGGAGCUGCAUUUGAAACUGCAUAGCUAGAGUACAGGAGAGGCAGGCGGAAUUCCUAGUGUAGCGGUGAAAUGCGUAGAUAUUAGGAGGAACACCAGUGGCGAAGGCGGCCUGCUAGACUGUUACUGACACUGAGGCACG